RNAcentral lists this ribosomal RNA (2550 nucleotides) under Escherichia coli HVH 147 (4-5893887). RNAcentral describes it as "bacterial LSU rRNA". It matches the Rfam family "Bacterial large subunit ribosomal RNA", at positions 397 to 2925 of the family's 2925-position model. Lineage: Bacteria; Pseudomonadati; Pseudomonadota; Gammaproteobacteria; Enterobacterales; Enterobacteriaceae. The record is from RNAcentral.
CUGUGAGCUCGAUGAGUAGGGCGGGACACGUGGUAUCCUGUCUGAAUAUGGGGGGACCAUCCUCCAAGGCUAAAUACUCCUGACUGACCGAUAGUGAACCAGUACCGUGAGGGAAAGGCGAAAAGAACCCCGGCGAGGGGAGUGAAAAAGAACCUGAAACCGUGUACGUACAAGCAGUGGGAGCACAGAGCAAUCUGUGUGACUGCGUACCUUUUGUAUAAUGGGUCAGCGACUUAUAUUCUGUAGCAAGGUUAACCGAAUAGGGGAGCCGAAGGGAAACCGAGUCUUAACUGGGCGUUAAGUUGCAGGGUAUAGACCCGAAACCCGGUGAUCUAGCCAUGGGCAGGUUGAAGGUUGGGUAACACUAACUGGAGGACCGAACCGACUAAUGUUGAAAAAUUAGCGGAUGACUUGUGGCUGGGGGUGAAAGGCCAAUCAAACCGGGAGAUAGCUGGUUCUCCCCGAAAGCUAUUUAGGUAGCGCCUCGUGAAUUCAUCUCCGGGGGUAGAGCACUGUUUCGGCAAGGGGGUCAUCCCGACUUACCAACCCGAUGCAAACUGCGAAUACCGGAGAAUGUUAUCACGGGAGACACACGGCGGGUGCUAACGUCCGUCGUGAAGAGGGAAACAACCCAGACCGCCAGCUAAGGUCCCAAAGUCAUGGUUAAGUGGGAAACGAUGUGGGAAGGCCCAGACAGCCAGGAUGUUGGCUUAGAAGCAGCCAUCAUUUAAAGAAAGCGUAAUAGCUCACUGGUCGAGUCGGCCUGCGCGGAAGAUGUAACGGGGCUAAACCAUGCACCGAAGCUGCGGCAGCGACGCUUAUGCGUUGUUGGGUAGGGGAGCGUUCUGUAAGCCUGCGAAGGUGUGCUGUGAGGCAUGCUGGAGGUAUCAGAAGUGCGAAUGCUGACAUAAGUAACGAUAAAGCGGGUGAAAAGCCCGCUCGCCGGAAGACCAAGGGUUCCUGUCCAACGUUAAUCGGGGCAGGGUGAGUCGACCCCUAAGGCGAGGCCGAAAGGCGUAGUCGAUGGGAAACAGGUUAAUAUUCCUGUACUUGGUGUUACUGCGAAGGGGGGACGGAGAAGGCUAUGUUGGCCGGGCGACGGUUGUCCCGGUUUAAGCGUGUAGGCUGGUUUUCCAGGCAAAUCCGGAAAAUCAAGGCUGAGGCGUGAUGACGAGGCACUACGGUGCUGAAGCAACAAAUGCCCUGCUUCCAGGAAAAGCCUCUAAGCAUCAGGUAACAUCAAAUCGUACCCCAAACCGACACAGGUGGUCAGGUAGAGAAUACCAAGGCGCUUGAGAGAACUCGGGUGAAGGAACUAGGCAAAAUGGUGCCGUAACUUCGGGAGAAGGCACGCUGAUAUGUAGGUGAAGUCCCUCGCGGAUGGAGCUGAAAUCAGUCGAAGAUACCAGCUGGCUGCAACUGUUUAUUAAAAACACAGCACUGUGCAAACACGAAAGUGGACGUAUACGGUGUGACGCCUGCCCGGUGCCGGAAGGUUAAUUGAUGGGGUCAGCGCAAGCGAAGCUCUUGAUCGAAGCCCCGGUAAACGGCGGCCGUAACUAUAACGGUCCUAAGGUAGCGAAAUUCCUUGUCGGGUAAGUUCCGACCUGCACGAAUGGCGUAAUGAUGGCCAGGCUGUCUCCACCCGAGACUCAGUGAAAUUGAACUCGCUGUGAAGAUGCAGUGUACCCGCGGCAAGACGGAAAGACCCCGUGAACCUUUACUAUAGCUUGACACUGAACAUUGAGCCUUGAUGUGUAGGAUAGGUGGGAGGCUUUGAAGUGUGGACGCCAGUCUGCAUGGAGCCGACCUUGAAAUACCACCCUUUAAUGUUUGAUGUUCUAACGUUGACCCGUGAUCCGGGUUGCGGACAGUGUCUGGUGGGUAGUUUGACUGGGGCGGUCUCCUCCUAAAGAGUAACGGAGGAGCACGAAGGUUGGCUAAUCCUGGUCGGACAUCAGGAGGUUAGUGCAAUGGCAUAAGCCAGCUUGACUGCGAGCGUGACGGCGCGAGCAGGUGCGAAAGCAGGUCAUAGUGAUCCGGUGGUUCUGAAUGGAAGGGCCAUCGCUCAACGGAUAAAAGGUACUCCGGGGAUAACAGGCUGAUACCGCCCAAGAGUUCAUAUCGACGGCGGUGUUUGGCACCUCGAUGUCGGCUCAUCACAUCCUGGGGCUGAAGUAGGUCCCAAGGGUAUGGCUGUUCGCCAUUUAAAGUGGUACGCGAGCUGGGUUUAGAACGUCGUGAGACAGUUCGGUCCCUAUCUGCCGUGGGCGCUGGAGAACUGAGGGGGGCUGCUCCUAGUACGAGAGGACCGGAGUGGACGCAUCACUGGUGUUCGGGUUGUCAUGCCAAUGGCACUGCCCGGUAGCUAAAUGCGGAAGAGAUAAGUGCUGAAAGCAUCUAAGCACGAAACUUGCCCCGAGAUGAGUUCUCCCUGACCCUUUAAGGGUCCUGAAGGAACGUUGAAGACGACGACGUUGAUAGGCCGGGUGUGUAAGCGCAGCGAUGCGUUGAGCUAACCGGUACUAAUGAACCGUGAGGCUUAACCUU